CAAAUGGCACGUAAAGGAAAAGAACUACCCAACAACUCAACAACAAUUGCUGGCCACAAUUAACAUGGUUGAACAAACACUGAAACAAGGUAGUAGAUACACACACCAUAUGACCCAUUUAAAAUCAAAACACACAUCAGGCAUAAUGCAGUAACAGUGCUAGACAAAUUAAAAUUUACAACGACAUUCUCGGCUCAGGAUCUUACCAAAUGUCGAAGCGCCAAUAUCGCCUAGAGCUCGUUGAGUUAUUCGUACCGUAUUUGCGCCGCUGAGGUUGUCAGUUGAAAAACAACCGCUAGUUGCGCUGCUGUUGGUGUGAAUCUCGAAAACAGUGGGGAAACGGAACCGCGAUUAGUGUCGUCCGCGCACGGUGCGUUGUUGCAAAUGGAAGAAAAAAAACGGUGUGAGGUAGUGUGUGUUGUUGUUGACGGCGGAUAAAGUGGCGGAGUCGAAGUGCAGGUGAGAGUUUAUGGUGGAGGACGGUGUUUCGCGGCGGUGAUGAAGCUUCAAACUCCUCCAACUCUUCAAACCAGGUUUGUCUUUGAUUUUAAGGGUUUGAAUAGGCAUCUUUGGGUUCCAAAAGAGUACCUCUGUAAACAUCCUUUUUGAUGCUCAGAAAUUGGAAUUGUCCUUUUUGAUGCUAGAAUUCGUUAACAGUGAAAAAUUGGUUAACGCAGGAAUGACUUUGGGGUAGGACUAGUUGCUGCGGAUUGUUGGUUGUUGCUGCAGCAAGCUCGGGUUCACUUUCACCCCAAUGACCAAAUAUGUUACCAACAGCAUCUUCUCUCACAGAUAGACCAACAAUUCCCAUGAGGUUUUUUACAUACCUUCGAGCUAAAACAUCCUUGUGAGUAUACAAAACCCUGGUUACUGCUGGAGCAGGUGCGUCAAAAAAUCCUGAAAGUUGAUCAAUCUGGUUCUGCAAACCCUGAGCGUCAACAGAUAGUGAAGAGAUGGAAGUGGGUUCGUGAAUUGAGUAACCGGAAAAUUGUUCUAUGGUUGAGAUGAUUGAAGGGUCGUGUUCAUGUUGAUGGGCUGAAAUUGAGGUGCAUAAGCAGAAGAGUAGAAUGACAUAGUGAUGAACCAUUCUGAGUGUGUUGCUCAAAUUCAUCAAACACUCCCUAGUCAUCCAUAGUGCAUUUGAGAUAUAAGAUGCCUUUGCACGUGUAGUCACGAGUUUCAAUCUGGGCAACAUAAGGAUUAAAACAUAAUCCAAGAGAAAGUACAAACUCUUGUGCAAUGUCAGGCCACUUAACAUCAAGGUACGCAGGAAAAUGCGCGUUGUAAUUUCCAACCGCACCGGCAAAUUUCCCCAAAACCUCAACUUGAGACAGUUCCUUCUUUUCUCUGCUUAGUCUCACAGCAAAUAUCGCCAUUUCCUUCCCUAAAGUUAUUGGUGAAGCUGGUUGUUCAUGAGUGCGAGAAAGCAUAGAGAUAUGAGCAUUGUCUUUGGCCAUUGUACAAAGUUUUGAUUAUUUUAUUCAUGGCAGGAAACAUAACAGAAUCCAUUGCUUCUUUCAACAUCAAGGCAUGAGCAAGAUUAUUUAUAUCCUCAGACGUGCAAGCAAAGUGAAAAAAUUCAAGCACCUUAGCAAUUUCAGCAUUUGAUUGGCACUUGUGUUUCAAGAAAUACUCUACAGCUUUAACAUCGUGAUUUGUAAUCUUCUCAAAUUUGUUAUGCAAGCGGCACGUGUUAUUCAACCUUCAACGAUGCAAUUGAUUCUAUCCAGCCUUCCAUCAACAAUCUACCAAUAUUCAACAGUCGACGUCGUUUGCAGUUGGUUUCAGUCCAAGAACCGAAAAAUCAAACUUUCCAAUAUGUCAAGGAUGAGGUAAGUUUCUACUGGUUUGUAAUUUCCCAAGUUUCUACUGGUUUAUUCUUUGGCAGGUAGGCUUCACUUUGUUGCAUCAAACCGCUGCUAAGGACUCAUUGCAGACCGCUGAUCAAUGUCAUAUAGAGACAGCAGAAUUUCGGCACCAAUCAAAGUAAUAAUGAGCCACUCUAGGAAAUCCGGUUAACGAGAGUUGAUCUUGCUGUAUGUUUCAGGACGAACACCGGGUCUUUUGUCAACCAAAGAGCCAUCAACCUUUUGAGCUACUAAUUGCCAUGAAACAAUUGCACUGUAAUGUUCAACAACGUGAAGUCAUUGGAGAUUCCAAAAGCAAUUUUCGGUUUUUUUUUUAUCACAACUCAGGUUUUACUCGGUUGGCAAAGAAACCUGGAGCAGAUUCAACUCCCAAUGCCUCUGCACCACUAAGCCACAUCGUCUCACUCAUAAACCACUUGCGAGAGGGUUUUUGCUUACGUUUUUUAGACAUACGGUUCUUAGUCACAUGCCAAUUCAUGUGACUGCUGUGCUCAUCUUGGGAUUUAAAACGGAGGCCACAAGUUGUGCAUUGAUGGUGGAGGGAAAAGGCUGAAGAGUUUUUUCUGUUGUGGAACUCAGAUAGACUUCUUUCAUUUGAAUUGCUCAUGAUGUAUGCCAUGAAGUUUGAUGUAUGUAGCAUAAAAUGUAUAUGAAUAAUCAAUGAGGCAUAAUGUAAUGCUUAUGUAAAAUGCUUGUUUUAAUAUGUAAAAUGUGCUCAUGAUAUAUAAAUAUUAAUGGAAUGAAGUGUAUGAGAAUGUAGCAUUACGUACCA
Molecule: long non-coding RNA, 2640 nt
Organism: Lathyrus oleraceus (garden pea)
Lineage: Eukaryota; Viridiplantae; Streptophyta; Magnoliopsida; Fabales; Fabaceae
Exons: 4
Source: RefSeq, a predicted model, not a curated record